CCUACGGGAGGCAGCAGUGAGGAAUAUUGGUCAAUGGACGAAAGUCUGAACCAGCCAAGUAGCGUGAAGGAUGACUGCCCUCUGGGUUGUAAACUUCUUUUAUAAGGGAAUAAAACGAGGCACGUAUGCCUUUUUGCAUGUCCUUUAUGAAUAAGGCUAGGCUAACUCCGUGCCAGCAGCCGCGGUAAUACGGAGGAUCCCAGCGUUAUCCGGAUUUAUUGGGUUUAAAGGGUGUGUAGAUGGGUUGUUAAGUCAGUUGUGAAAGUUUGCGGCUCAACCGUAGAAUUGCAAUUGAUACUGGCAUUCUUGAGUACAGUUGAGGUAGGCGGAAUUCGUGGUGUAGCGGUGAAAUGCUUAGAUAUCACGAAGAACCCCGAUUGCGAAGGCAGCUUACUAAACUGUGACUGACAUUGAUGCUCGAAAGUGUGGGUAUCAAACAGGAUUAGAUACCCUUGUAGUC
Molecule: ribosomal RNA, 460 nt
Filed under: uncultured bacterium
Lineage: Bacteria
Description: partial 16S ribosomal RNA
Rfam family: Bacterial small subunit ribosomal RNA
Source: RNAcentral